GGGGCUGGGGCUCAAUGGUAGAGCACGUGCCUCUCACGUGUGAGGCACUGGGUUCGAUUCUCAGCACCA
RNAcentral lists this transfer RNA (69 nucleotides) under Ictidomys tridecemlineatus (thirteen-lined ground squirrel). RNAcentral's name for it is "Spermophilus tridecemlineatus (thirteen-lined ground squirrel) tRNA". It matches the Rfam family "tRNA". Rfam says of the family: Transfer RNA (tRNA) molecules are approximately 80 nucleotides in length. Their secondary structure includes four short double-helical elements and three loops (D, anti-codon, and T loops). Further hydrogen bonds mediate the characteristic L-shaped molecular structure. tRNAs have two regions of fundamental functional importance: the anti-codon, which is responsible for specific mRNA codon recognition, and the 3' end, to which the tRNAs corresponding amino acid is attached (by aminoacyl-tRNA synthetases). tRNAs cope with the degeneracy of the genetic code in two manners: having more than one tRNA (with a specific anti-codon) for a particular amino acid; and 'wobble' base-pairing, i.e. permitting non-standard base-pairing at the 3rd anti-codon position. The record is from Rfam by way of RNAcentral. Lineage: Eukaryota; Metazoa; Chordata; Mammalia; Rodentia; Sciuridae.